Molecule: long non-coding RNA, 937 nt
Organism: Populus nigra (black poplar)
Lineage: Eukaryota; Viridiplantae; Streptophyta; Magnoliopsida; Malpighiales; Salicaceae
Exons: 2
Source: RefSeq, a predicted model, not a curated record
ACUAUCCACUCCCAUUUUGCAUAAAGCAUUUCAUUUUCAUGUGCCUCUGCUUCCAAUCAUAUACUUCUCAUUUUAGAUUCUUACAUUAAUGCAUAUUAUUCACAUUGAAUUUCUUACGCACUGAUGUUGGUGUAACUUUGUCAAUUUUUUCUUUAUUUCAGUUCUUGUUUAUUUCCCUUUUAACUUUUAGAGCAAAAUUAACUUUGGAUUUUCAAGUUGAAACAGUGUCUGAUAUUUUUGUUUCUUAUUUUCAGGUCAGAUAUACAUCUGACUUCUUCUUUUGCUACAAAGAGAUAUGAAUGAAGUGAUGUGAUUUUUCAUUUUAGUAAAAUGAUUUCCCUUUUGUUAUCUAUUUGUUUUGACCUCUGCCCGAAGCAUUAUUCUUGAGAAAAUUAUUUCAUAGAUGAAUUACCAUUUCAGUUCUAGUUCUAAAUGCAUGGCUCCAGCUGUUAGGUAUGGGAUAACUUAACAAGGAGAGGGAUGAGUCUGGUUCAAGUCUUUACCUUGUAACCUUGAAAAGGGAAAAAUAUACGUUGUAACUGAAUUUGGCCUUAGACAUCAGAAGGAUGGGAUAGGAAUGCCCUAACUUCACUGGAAAAUAUAUAAUUUUUUGCACUCAUUUCAAGGUCUUAUAAUCGAAACUUUCAGUAAUUGGUGUCUGAAAGUAGCUCAUGUACACCCAGUCCCUUGCUCUCACCUGAUUAUUUCUCGAAUUCUUUUUCCCACCACCCUAAUGAAAUGUGCAUCAUAAUGAUUUUAAUAAUUACUGCAAAUAACCUGAUCUGUUGGCUUAAUGAGGUGUAAUCACAAUCCCCAGAAACAUCUGUUUUCAUCCCCAGCUCCUCCAACUCCACCUCUGCAUCUUCUUCAAUGUUAUGCUGUAACUGUUCUAGAAAGAAAAUCUAUUAAUUCUUUCUGGAGCUUUUGUUUUUGAAAA